Molecule: ribosomal RNA, 247 nt
Filed under: Pseudomonas aeruginosa
Lineage: Bacteria; Pseudomonadati; Pseudomonadota; Gammaproteobacteria; Pseudomonadales; Pseudomonadaceae
Description: partial 23S ribosomal RNA
Rfam family: Bacterial large subunit ribosomal RNA
Source: RNAcentral
UGGACGAACCUCUGGUGUUCCGGUUGUCACGCCAGUGGCAUUGCCGGGUAGCUAUGUUCGGAAAAGAUAACCGCUGAAAGCAUCUAAGCGGGAAACUUGCCUCAAGAUGAGAUCUCACUGGGAACUUGAUUCCCCUGAAGGGCCGUCGAAGACUACGACGUUGAUAGGCUGGGUGUGUAAGCGUUGUGAGGCGUUGAGCUAACCAGUACUAAUUGCCCGUGAGGCUUGACCAUAUAACACCCAAACA